UGCUCCAUAGUGGAUAUGUCCUGGAAUGGUAUAUCCUCGAAAGAUCCGUCGCCUUAGGAUGGGACUGCGUCCGAUUAGGUUGUUGGCGGGGUAACGGCCCACCAAGCCUUUUAUCGGUACGGGUUGUGGGAGCAAGAUCCCGGAGAUGGAUUCUGAGACAUGAAUCCAGGCCCUACGGGGCGCAGCAGGCGCGCAAACUUUACAAUGCGAGCAAUCGUGAUAAGGAAACCCUGAGUGCCUGUCGAUGCAGGCUGUUCAUAUAUCUAAAUCAUAUGUGAAGAAAGGGCAGGGCAAGACCGGUGCCAGCCGCCGCGGUAAUACCGGCUGCUCGAGUGAUGGCCACUAUUACUGGGUUUAAAGCGUCCGUAGCUUGACUGUUAGGUCUCUUGGGAAAUCUUCGCGCUCAACGUGAAGGCGUCUAAGAGAUACCGGCAGUCUUGGAACUGGGAGAGGUAAACCGUACUUCGGGGGUAGGAGUGAAAUCUUGUAAUCCUCGAGGGACGACCUAUGGCGAAGGCAGUUUACCAGAACAGCUUCGACAGUGAGGGACGAAAGCUGGGGGAGCAAACGGGAUUAGAUACCCCGGUAGUCCCAGCCGUAAACAAUGUGCGUUAGGUGUGUCGGUAACCACGUGUUACUGAUGCGCCGAAGAGAAAUCGUGAAACGCACCACCUGGGAAGUACGGUCGCAAGGCUGAAACUUAAAGGAAUUGGCGGGGGAGCACCACAACAGGUGGAGCCUGCGGUUUAAUUG
This 753-nucleotide ribosomal RNA is filed under the name uncultured Methanocorpusculum sp. Its description in RNAcentral is "bacterial SSU rRNA". It matches the Rfam family "Archaeal small subunit ribosomal RNA", at positions 150 to 908 of the family's 1478-position model. The record is from RNAcentral. Lineage: Archaea; Methanobacteriati; Methanobacteriota; Methanomicrobia; Methanomicrobiales; Methanocorpusculaceae.